GAUGAACGCUGGCGGCGUGCUUAACACAUGCAAGUCGAACGGAGAAAACGGAGCUUGCCCUGUGGGAUCAGUGGCGAACGGGUGAGUAACACAUGAGGAACACGCACCUGACUCUGGGAUAAGAGCUGGAAAAGGCGUAUAAUACAGGGUAUGUGACGUGACAGCAUGGUCUGCGUUUGUAAAGAACGUUCGGUUGGGGAUGGGCACACGGACUCGCGGCGCGUUGGUGAGUUGGUAAGGUAACAGGUCAGCAAGGCAAAGAUGCGCAGCCGAGCUGAGAGGGUGAUCGGCCACACUGGAACUGAGACACGCUCCAGACUCCUACGGGAGGCAGCAGUAGGGAACCUUCCGCAAUGGGCGAAAGCCUGACGGAGCAACGCCGCGUGAGUGAUGAAGGUCUUCGGAUCGUAAAACUCUGUUAUUAGGGAAGAACAAAUGUGUAAGUAACUAUGCACGUCUUGACGGUACCUAAUCAGAAAGCCACGGCUAACUACGUG
RNAcentral lists this ribosomal RNA (497 nucleotides) under uncultured bacterium. RNAcentral's name for it is "partial 16S ribosomal RNA". It matches the Rfam family "Bacterial small subunit ribosomal RNA", at positions 28 to 507 of the family's 1533-position model. The record is from RNAcentral.